Regulatory RNA element from Nitratifractor salsuginis DSM 16511, 130 nucleotides. It matches the Rfam family "purD RNA motif". NCBI's taxonomy places the organism in Bacteria, Pseudomonadati, Campylobacterota, Epsilonproteobacteria, Campylobacterales, Sulfurovaceae. The record is from Rfam.
GUAGACGGCCGGUGUGCGGGCGACAUCGUUUGAGCCCGGAAACGGGCGAGAUGCCGCCCCCUGAAGGCUGUCUCACUCCUCCAUCGUUGGCUUAUCAGGGCCGACACAUAGCAAAUACGGCCACCUGGGG